GGUGCUUGGGGGAGUGUGUAUAGCCUUUUCACAAAGACCUGGAGCUGGGUGGUGUUGGUUCCAUCUCAGCUUGCAUCUCUGUGCAUUUGGGAUGGCUUGAAAAAUGCUGAGAGAAUGAAGGAAUUACGCUGCCUGACUUCAGCCUCAUGAUGUCUGGUGCUGAGGAGCAGAAGGGCACAGUGAAUCCUGAGCACAGGCUGCUCCUACACAGAGGGCAAUGCCUUGGCAGUUGAAGAGACCCAAUCCCCCUGACUCUAGGAAGGCUGUGAUCCAGAGCAUGUCUCCAAAUCCUGGGAUCAUCUGAAGGCUAAUGGUGUCAAGAGGAAGGCCCCUGAUGGCUCUUGGAUGAGGCAGCUGAUGGAGCUUUCUCCAUCGGUUGGUGGGAGGUGGUGAACUUGCUGGUGGAGGACAUGCCGGUUCCCUGCCCAGAAACUGCUGUGCUCUGGAGUAGGAGGUAGGAGCCAUCCAGUCAAAAGCAAUGAUCCUAGCAUUAUUUGCCUCUUGCACAAAACUCUGAUGAAAACAGAUGGAAUGUUUGCAAGUCUUUAAUAAAGACAAAACAAACCAAAACAGAGCCCGGGAAUCUGAAGGCAGGUUUCUAUUUGCUCUUGGUCUUGCCAGGCAUGGCAAGAAGUAGUUGUAAUAGUUGUCUUCUGGGGACAGCCCAAGGAGAAUGGGCACCUGAAGGUGGGCAUGGCGUGUUGUCCCCACUGAGCACUCUGCCUGCAGGAGCUGAGGGAGCUGAGCCAGACACCUCCACCCUCAUUCAUCAGCAUGGAUGGAGCAGCCCAUGCCUCCCUCCUCCUUCCACUGCUGUGUGCUUUGGACAUGCACUGAAAGCAGAGCUGUCGGUUAAAAUAAGAGCUGCUUUUCCGGCUCCCAGAGGAACCCUGCUGUGACCUGUGAGGUGUUGCAAUCCCUCUCUGCCACCGGCCUGCCUGGGUUUUGCCACCUUCCUCCCCCUUCCAUGGUGCUUAUCGCAGCGUUUUGGUAGAACUGCCCUUGUCAUAUAAAUCUAAACAUAAUUCUCUCUUUCCUGUUAAGCUAAAGAAAUAAAC
Meleagris gallopavo (turkey) is the source of this 1058-nucleotide non-coding RNA. Lineage: Eukaryota; Metazoa; Chordata; Aves; Galliformes; Phasianidae. The record is from RefSeq and is a predicted model, not a curated record.